CCCUGGGAUCAUGACCUGAGCCGAAGGCAGAUGCUUAACGACUGAACCACCCAGGCGCCCCACGUGUAUUCUGUUUCUUAGUGUGAGCCCUCCUGAAGGCUCUCUGGUCAGCUGCUGCCGUCAGGUAAGACCUCUGUGGUGAAGGAACAACAAAGUGCUGCCACAGUGUGGGUGUGUACGGCCAGGGGCUGCUGGCCUGGUGCUCAGAGUACGACUGAACUCAAGGGCUUUGCCGUUUGGUGUGCAUUAAAUUGAACACAACCCAAGUAAGUUGAAAACAAAGACCUUUUUAUUACUUGUUACAAGUAAGGACGGGAAGAUAGCUCUCAAAGUACUGUCUUCCUGUGGGGUUAGUACAAGAAGCUUUAACUCUGUAUUGGGGGGCAGGAGCAGGGAAAUUGUAUAUACAUUAAGAAACUUAGAGAUAUUCUAUGCUUAGGCACUUUGGUUCAACUGAGCAUGCCUAGCAUGUCAACAUGCUAGUGCAUACAUUGUAUGUUCAAAAAUGGCAGAAAACUCAGCCCAUGGGAGGAGAUCUUAGUAUUAUAAUGAGCUAAAGUUAACUUUAGGACAACUCAGGGGGGCUUCUUUGGCAGGUCCUCAGCUCCAAACCAGCCAAAACUGGCUCACAUAAGAGGCCAUCUGGUGAACCACCUGGCUGGGGAGUCUCCUUGGCUGGCUGCUGGUUCUGCAAGACAAAGCACAUUGCUUCCCAGCUUUUGUUCCUUCCCUCUCCUCCCUUCUGCUGAUGGCUUUCAGCCCUCAGAUCUGAGUAACUCCCCUUUGUGUCCUAGCCAACAAGAGGAUGGGAUUUGUGUCCCUGAAGUAGAGGACUUGACGUGGCCCAGCGCUUCUCAGGUGAAGAAGAGCUGAUCUGAGGAACAUUCUGAAGUGGUCUGCAGCAUUAGAAUCGAGAGAGUGAAGAACAGGAAGAUGGAGACAAUAAGGAAGGAAGGUUCACAGAGGGAUUGAAAAAUACUUCAGAGAAACUCCAGACCAAGAUGGCAACAUAAGAGGCCCCUGAAUUUCCUUCCUCCCACAGAUGCACCAAAUUUAUCCCUGCCUGAAACCGCAAAUGAGAAGGCAUUUAUGACCAGGCUUGACGGAAAAACACCCUCGCUUUUUAUUUUCUCUCACUUCAAGCCUGUGGAUAUCAUCUUACCUCCGCAAAAAGAGAUCCCAGUAAUGCUGAGGGUGAGUAACAUAGGGAUAGAAAUUUUCAGGUAGCUCCAUUCUGCUGUG
This is a non-coding RNA of Leptonychotes weddellii (Weddell seal), 1242 nucleotides long. The record is from RefSeq and is a predicted model, not a curated record. NCBI's taxonomy places the organism in Eukaryota, Metazoa, Chordata, Mammalia, Carnivora, Phocidae.